AUGGCCGACGCGGGUCAAAGUGUUCUUAAUAUGUUCUUAUCAGCUCAAUAUCUGAUACGGGUUGUAUUUGGACCGAAGAUAUUAAACUUAUUUUUGAAAGUUGGCGGAGUACUUGAAGCCUGUUUCAUCCCCGCCUCGGGUCGGCCCGCUAUUGCACAUUCUUCGGGAUCGGCCCACGAUUU
Molecule: small nuclear RNA, 182 nt
Organism: Dermacentor silvarum
Lineage: Eukaryota; Metazoa; Arthropoda; Arachnida; Ixodida; Ixodidae
Product: U2 spliceosomal RNA
Exons: 1
Source: RefSeq, a predicted model, not a curated record